UGGGGAAUUUUGGACAAUGGGCGCAAGCCUGAUCCAGCCAUUCCGCGUGCGGGAAGAAGGCCUUCGGGUUGUAAACCGCUUUUGUCAGGGAAGAAAAGGUUCUGGCUAAUACCUGGGACUCAUGACGGUACCUGAAGAAUAAGCACCGGCUAACUACGUGCCAGCAGCCGCGGUAAUACGUAGGGUGCAAGCGUUAAUCGGAAUUACUGGGCGUAAAGCGUGCGCAGGCGGUUAUGCAAGACAGAGGUGAAAUCCCCGGGCUCAACCUGGGAACUGCCUUUGUGACUGCAUGGCUAGAGUACGGUAGAGGGGGAUGGAAUUCCGCGUGUAGCAGUGAAAUGCGUAGAUAUGCGGAGGAACACCGAUGGCGAAGGCAAUCCCCUGGACCUGUACUGACGCUCAUGCACGAAAGCGUGGGGAGCAAACAGG
This 429-nucleotide ribosomal RNA is filed under the name Bacillota bacterium. Its description in RNAcentral is "Firmicutes bacterium partial 16S ribosomal RNA". It matches the Rfam family "Bacterial small subunit ribosomal RNA", at positions 355 to 776 of the family's 1533-position model. The record is from RNAcentral. Lineage: Bacteria; Bacillati; Bacillota.